This 248-nucleotide ribosomal RNA is filed under the name Bacteroides acidifaciens. RNAcentral's name for it is "partial 16S ribosomal RNA". It matches the Rfam family "Bacterial small subunit ribosomal RNA", at positions 1 to 235 of the family's 1533-position model. Lineage: Bacteria; Pseudomonadati; Bacteroidota; Bacteroidia; Bacteroidales; Bacteroidaceae. The record is from RNAcentral.
UAUUACAAUGAAGAGUUUGAUCCUGGCUCAGGAUGAACGCUAGCUACAGGCUUAACACAUGCAAGUCGAGGGGCAGCAUGAAAGUUUGCUUGCAAACUUUUGAUGGCGACCGGCGCACGGGUGAGUAACACGUAUCCAACCUGCCUCAUACUCGGGGAUAGCCUUUCGAAAGAAAGAUUAAUACCCGAUGUUAUAGUCCUACCGCAUGAUGGGAUUAUUAAAGAAUUUCGGUAUGGGAUGGGGAUGCG